Molecule: non-coding RNA, 314 nt
Organism: Glycine max (soybean)
Lineage: Eukaryota; Viridiplantae; Streptophyta; Magnoliopsida; Fabales; Fabaceae
Source: Rfam
UCUAAGGAACUCUGCAAAAUAGCCCCAUAACUUCAAGAGAAGGGGUGCCUCCUCACAAAGAAGGUCGUAGUGACCAGGCUCGGGUGACUGUUUACCAAAAACACAGGUCUCCGCAAAGUCGUAAGACCAUGUAUAGGAGCUAACGCUUGCCCAAUGCCGAAAGGUCAAGGAAGUUGGUGACCUGAUGACAUGGGAGCCGACGACCGAAGCCCCAGUGAACAGCGACUAUAACUAUAACGGUCCCAAGGUAGCAAAAUUCCUUGUUGGGUAAGUUCCGACCAGCACGAAAGGUGUAAUGAUCACCUUAUCAUGGA